RNAcentral lists this ribosomal RNA (487 nucleotides) under uncultured bacterium. Its description in RNAcentral is "bacterial SSU rRNA". It matches the Rfam family "Bacterial small subunit ribosomal RNA", at positions 28 to 507 of the family's 1533-position model. The record is from RNAcentral.
GAUGAACGCUAGCGGGAGGCUUAACACAUGCAAGUCGAGGGGCAGCAUAGGGUAGCAAUACUCUGAUGGCGACCGGCAAACGGGUGAGUAACGCGUAUACAACCUACCCUGUACAGGGGGAUAACCCGGAGAAAUUCGGACUAAUAUCCCGUAAUAAUAUCCGGAGGCAUCUUUGGAUAUUUAAAGUUCCGACGGUACGGGAUGGGCAUGCGUAACAUUAGCUGGUUGGUAAGGUAACGGCUUACCAAGGCUAUGAUGUUUAGGGGUCCUGAGAGGGUGGUCCCCCACACUGGUACUGAGACACGGACCAGACUCCUACGGGAGGCAGCAGUGAGGAAUAUUGGUCAAUGGGCGCAAGCCUGAACCAGCCAUCCCGCGUGCAGGAAGACGGCCCUAUGGGUUGUAAACUGCUUUUCCAGGGAGAGAAACUUACGCACGUGUUGCGUGACUGACGGUACCCUGGGAAUAAGCAUCGGCUAACUCCGUG